UUAAAUUUAGUGUCUUGAAUUCAUACUUUUGGUGACUAUUUAAAGACUCCUUGUUCGUCACUGCACAAAAAAGGGUUAGCAAUCAAAUGAUAUAUUUGUUUAUGGCAAUUGAUACUUAAUAACUCAUAACAUGCAAAGAUAAUGCAUCAGGGUCAUCUUAUUGUUAGAAGCAUGAACAGUGAGCUUUAAAAGACUAUCCAACUUAAAUCCAUAAGAGAGGAUCUAAUAGAAUGGAUUUGGAUUCAAACAUGAGAGGGUUAUGUUCAUCAUCUCGCCAUUAAAAUUCAUUAGGGGUUUAAACUUCAAAAAUAGAAAAGUGGGAUAAGGAUUCAAUAAAUUUUAAUGGUGAGAUGAUCAACGUGAUAAAAAAUCCUAAUAAAAUCUCAUUAAAGUUUUUUUCUAACGAUAAAUAGGAACAGCCAGUGAGUAUCGAAAUGUUAAAAAUAGAGCUAGCACCAUCAAAUCUACGUCUACCAUGUCCAGAAACAGAUAAUGAUAAGAAUUACUACAACUAAAAAAGACUUACCUCUUGUUGUUCCCUGAUUCAAUGUAUUACACAAAAAAAGAAUUCUCUUCAUGAUGUCCUUUAGUUUGCACAUUCUUCAUCUAUCUAAUACUUAAUAUCAUCUUACAUAAAAGAAUACAUAAAAACCAAAAAUCAUACUUAAUAGUUAACGUCAUCAUAAUCACAACAAACAUGUGAAACUGAAAUAUGAAAUAAAUUGAUCCAAACACCUACAAAAUGACCAAGGCUCUAAUAUGGAAAGAAAUCACACCACUUUUAUU
This 786-nucleotide long non-coding RNA is filed under the name Trifolium pratense (red clover). Its description in RNAcentral is "long non-coding RNA (TPRA_LNC011525)". The record is from RNAcentral. Lineage: Eukaryota; Viridiplantae; Streptophyta; Magnoliopsida; Fabales; Fabaceae.